UCCUACGGGAGGCAGCAGUGGGGAAUUUUCCGCAAUGGGCGAAAGCCUGACGGAGCAACGCCGCGUGCGGGAGGAAGGUUUUAGGACUGUAAACCGCUUUUCUCAGGGAAGAAGAUCUGACGGUACCUGAGGAAUCAGCAUCGGCUAAUUCCGUGCCAGCAGCCGCGGUAAU
Molecule: ribosomal RNA, 172 nt
Filed under: uncultured cyanobacterium
Lineage: Bacteria; Bacillati; Cyanobacteriota
Description: partial 16S ribosomal RNA
Rfam family: Bacterial small subunit ribosomal RNA
Source: RNAcentral